GGCUGUUCUGACCCGGGGGGAACAGCUCACCCAAGAGGGUGACGGAUGAAGACGUGCAGAAAUAGCCAUAAGCACCCUUUGCCCCCCGCCGCAACCUUUCCAUCCCUACCACUGCUCCUGUGCUUGAAUUCCUUCAGCGAGCCAGUGAAAUCCAGCAAAUAAGUGUCAAUAAGGGGGAAGUGCCAGCGGCAGGUGGAGUUUUACUGCUGGUCUGUUUGGACUAUUUUAAGUUCAGCGUAACAGAACUUCCCUGCACUCUGAGAGAGCACCAUUCGCAACAAAAAGGGCUGCAAAGACUUCAUCAGUGUUCAACGAGGAAAUAUGCAGAGCUUGAAGCUGAACAUGAAUGGACAUCACAGUGAAAGGGAGGCCUUCAUCACCAUUCUGCUCUUCAGAGUCUGGCAUGGUGUUUUAAUGGCUGGGGAAAUUUUUUAACUCAAUGAAAAUACUUUGUCUUUAUUGGAAUUAAACCAUGGUUACAAGAAAGCUUCAA
Long non-coding RNA from Pseudopipra pipra, 493 nucleotides. RefSeq lists it as uncharacterized. The record is from RefSeq and is a predicted model, not a curated record. Lineage: Eukaryota; Metazoa; Chordata; Aves; Passeriformes; Pipridae. The transcript has 2 exons.